CGGAACUAACAGAUUUACUUCGGUAAUGACGUUAGGAAAGCGAGCGGCGGAUGGGUGAGUAACACGUGGGGAACCUGCCCCAUAGUCUGGGAUACCACUUGGAAACAGGUGCUAAUACCGGAUAAGAAAGCAGAUCGCAUGAUCAGCUUUUAAAAGGCGGCGUAAGCUGUCGCUAUGGGAUGGCCCCGCGGUGCAUUAGCUAGUUGGUAAGGUAAAGGCUUACCAAGGCGAUGAUGCAUAGCCGAGUUGAGAGACUGGUCGGCCACAUCGGGACUGAGACACGGCCCAAACUCCUACGGGAGGCAGCAGUAGGGAAUCUUCCACAAUGGACGCAAGUCUGAUGGAGCAACGCCGCGUGAGUGAAGAAGGUUUUCGGAUCGUAAAGCUCUGUUGUUGGUGAAGAAGGAU
RNAcentral lists this ribosomal RNA (408 nucleotides) under uncultured Lactobacillus sp. RNAcentral's name for it is "bacterial SSU rRNA". It matches the Rfam family "Bacterial small subunit ribosomal RNA", at positions 67 to 453 of the family's 1533-position model. The record is from RNAcentral. Lineage: Bacteria; Bacillati; Bacillota; Bacilli; Lactobacillales; Lactobacillaceae.